This 261-nucleotide ribosomal RNA is filed under the name uncultured prokaryote. Its description in RNAcentral is "partial 16S ribosomal RNA". It matches the Rfam family "Bacterial small subunit ribosomal RNA", at positions 524 to 784 of the family's 1533-position model. The record is from RNAcentral.
UACGGAGGAUCCGAGCGUUAUCCGGAUUUAUUGGGUUUAAAGGGUGCGUAGGUGGAUUGGUAAGUCAGUGGUGAAAGUUUGCAGCUUGACUGUAAAAAUGCCGUUGAAACUGUCGGACUUGAGUGUAAAUGAGGUAGGCGGAAUGCGUGGUGUAGCGGUGAAAUGCAUAGAUAUCACGCAGAACUCCGAUUGCGAAGGCAGCUUACUAAGCUACAACUGACACUGAAGCACGAAAGCGUGGGGAUCAAACAGGAUUAGAUA